AUUGAACGCUGGCGGCAGGCUUAACACAUGCAAGUCGAGCGAGCGGCGGACGGGUGAGUAAUGUCUGGGAAACUGCCUGAUGGAGGGGGCUAACUACUGGAAACGGUCGCUAAUACCGCAUACCAUCAGAUGUGCCCAGAUGGGAUUAGCUAGUAGGUGGGGUAAUGGCUCACCUAGGCGACGAUCCCUAGCUGGUCUGCGAGGAUGACCAGCCACACUGGAACUAGGACACUGUCCAGACGCCGACGUGAGGCAGCAGGGGGGAAUAGUGCACAAUGGGCGCAAGCCUGAUGCAGCCAUGCCGGGUGUGUGAAGAAGGCCUUCGGGUUGUAAAGCAAUUUCAGCGAGGAGGCGUUACUCGCAGAAGAAGCACCGGCUAACUCCGUGCCAGCCGCCGCGGUAAUUC
This 406-nucleotide ribosomal RNA is filed under the name uncultured bacterium. RNAcentral describes it as "partial 16S ribosomal RNA". It matches the Rfam family "Bacterial small subunit ribosomal RNA", at positions 30 to 526 of the family's 1533-position model. The record is from RNAcentral.